RNAcentral lists this ribosomal RNA (253 nucleotides) under uncultured bacterium. RNAcentral describes it as "partial 16S ribosomal RNA". It matches the Rfam family "Bacterial small subunit ribosomal RNA", at positions 524 to 776 of the family's 1533-position model. The record is from RNAcentral.
GACGUAGGGUGCGAGCGUUGUCCGGAAUUAUUGGGCGUAAAGGGCUCGUAGGCGGUUUGUCGCGUCGGGAGUGAAAACACCGGGCUUAACUCGGUGCUGGCUUUCGAUACGGGCAGACUAGAGGUAUUCAGGGGAGAACGGAAUUCCUGGUGUAGCGGUGAAAUGCGCAGAUAUCAGGAGGAACACCGGUGGCGAAGGCGGUUCUCUGGGAAUGUCCUGACGCUGAGGAGCGAAAGUGUGGGGAGCGAACAGG